This 150-nucleotide ribosomal RNA is filed under the name Macellolophus rubromarginatus. Its description in RNAcentral is "partial small subunit ribosomal RNA". It matches the Rfam family "Microsporidia small subunit ribosomal RNA", at positions 1125 to 1311 of the family's 1311-position model. The record is from RNAcentral. Lineage: Eukaryota; Metazoa; Arthropoda; Diplopoda; Polydesmida; Xystodesmidae.
AAGGUGGAUUUGCUAGUAAUUAAUUUUAAUUAAUGUUUAAUGAAAUAUGAAAUGAUUUGUGUACAUAUCGCCCGUCGCUCUCAUUUAUAAGUGAGAUAAGUCGUAACAUAGUUGAUAUACUGGAAAGUGUAUCUUUUAUUAUAACUUAAU